Molecule: long non-coding RNA, 1924 nt
Organism: Leopardus geoffroyi (Geoffroy's cat)
Lineage: Eukaryota; Metazoa; Chordata; Mammalia; Carnivora; Felidae
Exons: 2
Source: RefSeq, a predicted model, not a curated record
GCGCCCACCAGGGGUCCGAUCCAGAAGACCUGGGGCGGGCAGAGAGGACGGUCGGCGCGGGGGACGGUGGGCACGGUGGGGCCGAGCCCCGACUCCGCCGCGCCCUUCAGCCUCGAGACGCGCUCCCCACCCCAACUUCGUGUUGAAAGGGCUGUUGUGAGGUGUCACCAUGUGGCCUGUGAGGAGUACCUGCCGUGAAGCUCACGCACGGUAGAUGCUGAAGAAACAUCGGGUCCUUCUUCCCUCAAGAAGACCCUUGGGACUAGCGCUCCGAGGUUCCUCCCAGUUCAGAAAGCACAGCCGCUUUGGGACCUCGUCUUCUGCUGAGUUCUAGCCCAGCCCUCACUGUAUUGCAGGCAUCGAGUCAACAGAAACCCUGAUGCUCUCUUCCUCGGUGAGGCUCGGGGCAGAAGGUGCCGGCAGACCCUGCCUGUAUCCUGCCUCUGCUCUGAACUUACUCCUCCUUCCACCCUGACUCCCUUAUGACACCGGUGUUCCUGGCUCCAGUAUCUCUCCCUCCCUCCCUCCAUCUCUCUCUCCCCCCACCCAGACCUUCAUCCAGAUCUGGUCCCUCCCAUCUCACCCUGUACGAGGGACUCCCCAGGGUCUGCCCCUUAUGGAAGGGGUGAAGUUCUGGCUACUCACUGCAUUAACAGCCAGGUCCCCUCGGAUGUCUGGUGGCGUAAUCUCAUGGAGCAGAGCAGCCCCUGCCACAGCCCCCAGCAGCUGGGCGGCCACGUAGAAGGCAGCUCGGAGAAAGGAGACGUGGCAGCCUACUAGGCAGGCCACAGUCACGGCAGGAUUGAUGUGAGCCCCACUGACGUGGCCCAGAGCCUGCACCAGGGUGCCGAUACCCAGGCCGAAGGCCACGGCGAUCUGCAGCACAGAGGGCAGAGCCUUUGGCCAGUUGAGGGCCGAGCCAAGGCCAAAGAAGACGAAGAGGAGUGUGGCCAGGAACUCUGCAAACACCGCCCUGGAGAAGGCUAUGGACCGGAGUUCCCACAUGCUGUGAGGCCUUCCGGGGGGCUGGCCCAGCAGUCGGAGUGGAAGGAAGCUUGUGGAGUGCUCUCUCGCGUGCUUUCCCUCUCUCGCUCACUCUCUUGCUCCCUCAGGGUCUCUGGGGAGGCUGGGCUGUGGGCAUUUAUAGGGUUCUUCCAUCCUGGAUUCGGACACGUGAGGUAGAGGUGGAGUUUGGGCCAUUACCUUGUCUCUGCUGUGGCUGCCUCCUGCCCCCACUCCCCACCCCUGCCCACCCACAUGCCUAUCACCCCAUCUUGGCCUUCACAGCUGAAUAAUGUUCCCCAUUAAUGCGCUCCAGAUAAGGACUGACGUCCCCUGGUUUUUCCGUGUUUGUUCCCUGGUUACCCUAGGGCUGCUGCCCCAGGGCCUCCCCUACCCCCACUGGGUCUGUGAAUGGGGAUUCUCUCAGGGGCUUGUGCCAACCCCCUCCCUCUGACCCAAACUGUUGGUCAAGGCAGGGACAACGCCUCUCCCAAAACUGACCAUGAGAGAGGAUGUCAAUGCUACCCCUUCUCGUGACUGGGAAGUCCUUCCUGUCGUUACCCUCCAAUUAUUCCCUCUUGAAGGGGAUGGAAAACAACUGGUUGGCUUGUGACAUGAACCUUCCAAGGCAUAAAGGUUUUGUCUCUUCUGUGCUCGCUUUCUUGCAGUCAAUUACCCGUAAGUUACUAAGCUUUACCUGCUCCCCGGAACCCCAGCCAAAGAGCAGCUCCCAUAGCCUAGAGGCAGGGAGUGGUUUCAGUGGCAUUAGGACCCUGGCCCUGGGGACUGGGGUCAACCUGGGGUUGACCGAGGAAGCCUUGGGCUUCCAUUCCAGCAUCACCCUGCCCCAUUUCUGUGAUUUACCCUUUCUUGUCCAUCUCUGUGAACAAGGGGUAAUAAACUUACACGGGGUUGGGGUUUG